RNAcentral lists this ribosomal RNA (315 nucleotides) under uncultured bacterium. Its description in RNAcentral is "bacterial SSU rRNA". It matches the Rfam family "Bacterial small subunit ribosomal RNA", at positions 28 to 334 of the family's 1533-position model. The record is from RNAcentral.
GAUGAACGCUGGCGGCGUGCUUAACACAUGCAAGUCGAGCGGAGAUAUUUUGGAGUUUACUUUAAAAUAUCCUAGCGGCGGACGGGUGAGUAACGUGUGGGUAACCUGCCUCAUACUGUGGAAUAAUCAUGUGAAAACGUGACUAAUACCGCAUGUCAUCACUAGAAGGCAUCUUCUGGUGAGAAAAGGAUUUAUUCGGUAUGAGAUGGACCCGCAUCUGAUUAGCUAGUUGGUGAGAUAAUAGCUCACCAAGGCAACGAUCAGUAGCCGACCUGAGAGGGUGAUCGGCCACAUUGGGACUGAGACACGGCCCAA